UCCACCAUGGCGCAAUUGGCUAGCGCGUCAGACUGUUAUUCCCUAUGCAAUCUGGAGGCUCACAGUUCGACCCUGUGUGGUGGAG
This 85-nucleotide transfer RNA is filed under the name Pestalotiopsis fici W106-1. It matches the Rfam family "tRNA". From Rfam's summary of the family: Transfer RNA (tRNA) molecules are approximately 80 nucleotides in length. Their secondary structure includes four short double-helical elements and three loops (D, anti-codon, and T loops). Further hydrogen bonds mediate the characteristic L-shaped molecular structure. tRNAs have two regions of fundamental functional importance: the anti-codon, which is responsible for specific mRNA codon recognition, and the 3' end, to which the tRNAs corresponding amino acid is attached (by aminoacyl-tRNA synthetases). tRNAs cope with the degeneracy of the genetic code in two manners: having more than one tRNA (with a specific anti-codon) for a particular amino acid; and 'wobble' base-pairing, i.e. permitting non-standard base-pairing at the 3rd anti-codon position. The record is from Rfam by way of RNAcentral. Lineage: Eukaryota; Fungi; Ascomycota; Sordariomycetes; Amphisphaeriales; Sporocadaceae.